This 492-nucleotide ribosomal RNA is filed under the name uncultured bacterium. RNAcentral describes it as "partial 16S ribosomal RNA". It matches the Rfam family "Bacterial small subunit ribosomal RNA", at positions 28 to 507 of the family's 1533-position model. The record is from RNAcentral.
GAUGAACGCUGGCUACAGGCUUAACACAUGCAAGUCGAGGGGAAACGGCAUUGAGUGCUUGCACUGAAUGGACGUCGACCGGCGCACGGGUGAGUAACGCGUAUCCAACCUUCCCGUUACUGCGGGAUAACCUGCCGAAAGGCAGACUAAUACCGCAUGUUCUUCGAUGACGGCAUCAGAUUCGAAGCAAAGAUCCGUCGGUAACGGAGGGGGAUGCGUCUGAUUAGCUAGUUGGCGGGGCGACGGCCUACCAAGGCGACGAUCAGUAGGGGUUCUGAGAGGAAGGUCCCCCACAUUGGAACUGAGACACGGUCCAAACUCCUACGGGAGGCAGCAGUGAGGAAUAUUGGCCAAUGGGCGGAAGCCUGAACCAGCCAAGUAGCGUGCAGGAUGACGGCCCUACGGGUUGUAAACUGCUUUUAUGCGGGGAUAAAGUGAGGGACGCGUCCCUUUUUGCAGGUACCGCAUGAAUAAGGACCGGCUAAGUCCGUG